This 1011-nucleotide ribosomal RNA is filed under the name Mycolicibacterium cosmeticum. Its description in RNAcentral is "partial 16S ribosomal RNA". It matches the Rfam family "Bacterial small subunit ribosomal RNA", at positions 426 to 1445 of the family's 1533-position model. Lineage: Bacteria; Bacillati; Actinomycetota; Actinomycetes; Mycobacteriales; Mycobacteriaceae. The record is from RNAcentral.
UAAANNUNUUUCAGCACAGACGAAGNGCAAGUGACGGUAUGUGCAGAAGAAGGACCGGCCCAANUACGUGCCAGCAGCCGCGGUAAUACGUAGGGUCCGAGCGUUNUNCNGNAAUUACUGGGCGUAAAGAGNUCGUAGGUGGUUUGUCGCGUUGUUCGUGAAAACUCACAGCUUAACUGUGGGCGUGCGGGCGAUACGGGCAGACUGGAGUACUGCAGGGGAGACUGGAAUUCNUGGUGUAGCGGUGGAAUGCGCAGAUAUCAGGAGGAACACCGGUGGCGAAGGCGGGUCUCUGGGCAGUAACUGACGCUGAGGAGCGAAAGCGUGGGGAGCGAACAGGAUUAGAUACCCUGGUAGUCCACGCCGUAAACGGUGGGUACUAGGUGUGGGUUUCCUUCCUUGGGAUCCGUGCCGUAGCUAACGCAUUAAGUACCCCGCCUGGGGAGUACGGCCGCAAGGCUAAAACUCAAAGGAAUNNNNNNNGGCCCGCACAAGCGGCGGAGCAUGUGGAUUAAUUCGAUGCAACGCGAAGAACCUUACCUGGGUUUGACAUGCACAGGACGNCNGUAGAGAUAUCNGUUCCCUUGUGGCCUGUGUGCAGGUGGUGCAUGGCUGUCGUCAGCUCGUGUCGUGAGAUGUUGGGUUAAGUCCCGCAACGAGCGCAACCCUUGUCCUAUGUUGCCAGCGGGUUAUGCCGGGGACUCGUAGGAGACUGCCGGGGUCAACUCGGAGGAAGGUGGGGAUGACGUCAAGUCAUCAUGCCCCUUAUGUCCAGGGCUUCACACAUGCUACAAUGGCCGGUACAAAGGGCUGCGAUGCCGUGAGGUGGAGCGAAUCCUUGUAAAGCCGGUCUCAGUUCGGAUCGGGGUCUGCAACUCGACCCCGUGAAGUCGGAGUCGCUAGUAAUCGCAGAUCAGCAACGCUGCGGUGAAUACGUUCCCGGGCCUUGUACACACCGCCCGUCACGUCAUGAAAGUCGGUAACACCCGAAGCCGGUGGCCUAACCCCUUG